CCUACGGGAUGCACCAGUGGGGAAUAUUGCACAAUGGGCGCAAGCCUGAUGCAGCCAUGCCGCGUGUAUGAAGAAGGCCUUCGGGUUGUAAAGUACUUUCAGCGGGGAGGAAGGUGUUGAGGUUAAUAACCUCAGCAAUUGACGUUACCCGCAGAAGAAGCACCGGCUAACUCCGUGCCAGCAGCCGCGGUAAUACGGAGGGUGCAAGCGUUAAUCGGAAUUACUGGGCGUAAAGCGCACGCAGGCGGUCUGUCAAGUCGGAUGUGAAAUCCCCGGGCUCAACCUGGGAACUGCAUUCGAAACUGGCAGGCUAGAGUCUUGUAGAGGGGGGUAGAAUUCCAGGUGUAGCGGUGAAAUGCGUAGAGAUCUGGAGGAACACCAGUGGCGAAGGCGACUCUCUGGUCUGUAACUGACGCUGAGGCUCGAAAGCGUGGGGAGCAAACAGGAUUAGAUACCCUCGUAGUC
RNAcentral lists this ribosomal RNA (465 nucleotides) under uncultured bacterium. RNAcentral's name for it is "bacterial SSU rRNA". It matches the Rfam family "Bacterial small subunit ribosomal RNA", at positions 338 to 795 of the family's 1533-position model. The record is from RNAcentral.